GACGAACGCUGGCGGCGUGCCUAAUACAUGCAAGUCGAGCGGAUCUUCAUUAGCUUGCUUUUGAAGAUCAGCGGCGGACGGGUGAGUAACACGUGGGCAACCUGCCUGUAAGACUGGGAUAACUUCGGGAAACCGGAGCUAAUACCGGAUAAUCCUUUUCCUCUCAUGAGGAAAAGCUGAAAGUCGGUUUCGGCUGUCACUUACAGAUGGGCCCGCGGCGCAUUAGCUAGUUGGUGAGGUAACGGCUCACCAAGGCGACGAUGCGUAGCCGACCGGAGAGGGUGAUCGGCCACACUGGGACUGAGACACGGCCCAGACUCCUACGGGAGGCAGCAAUAGGGAAUCUUCCGCAAUGGACGAAAGUCUGACGGAGCAACGCCGCGUGAGCGAUGAAGGCCUUCGGGUCGUAAAGCUCUGUUGUCAGGGAAGAACAAGUACCGGAGUAACUGCCGGUACCUUGACGGUACCUGACCAGAAAGCCACGGCUAACUACGUGCCAGCAGCCGCCGUAA
Molecule: ribosomal RNA, 512 nt
Filed under: uncultured bacterium
Lineage: Bacteria
Description: partial 16S ribosomal RNA
Rfam family: Bacterial small subunit ribosomal RNA
Source: RNAcentral